This 497-nucleotide ribosomal RNA is filed under the name uncultured bacterium. RNAcentral describes it as "partial 16S ribosomal RNA". It matches the Rfam family "Bacterial small subunit ribosomal RNA", at positions 28 to 507 of the family's 1533-position model. The record is from RNAcentral.
GAUGAACGCUGGCGGCGUGCCUAAUACAUGCAAGUCGAGCGAACAGACGAGGAGCUUGCUCCUCUGACGUUAGCGGCGGACGGGUGAGUAACACGUGGAGAACCUACCUAUAAGACUGGGAUAACUUCGGGAAACCGGAGCUAAUACCGGAUAAUAUAUUGAACCGCAUGGUUCAAUAGUGAAAGACGGUUUGGCUGUCACUGAUAGAUGGAUCCGCGCCGCAUUAGCUAGUUGGUAAGGUAACGGCUUACCAAGGCAACGAUGCGUAGCCGACCUGAGAGGGUGAUCGGCCCCACUGGAACUGAGACACGGUCCAGACUCCUACGGGAGGCAGCAGUAGGGAAUCUUCCGCAAUGGGCGAAAGCCUGCCGGAGCAACGCCGCGUGAGUGAUGAAGGUCUUCGGAUCGUAAAACUCUGUUCUUAGGGAAGAACAAAUGUGUAAGUAACUAUGCACGUCUUGACGGUACCUAAUCAGAAAGCCACGGCUAACUACGUG